This 253-nucleotide ribosomal RNA is filed under the name uncultured bacterium. RNAcentral describes it as "partial 16S ribosomal RNA". It matches the Rfam family "Bacterial small subunit ribosomal RNA", at positions 524 to 776 of the family's 1533-position model. The record is from RNAcentral.
UACGUAGGUGGCAAGCGUUGUCCGGAUUUACUGGGCGUAAAGAGCGCGCAGGCGGUCGAGUAAGUCGAAUGUGAAAGCCCCCGGCUUAACUGGGGAGGGUCAUUCGAUACUGUUCGACUUGAAGGCAGGAGAGGGCAGCAGAAUUCCCGGUGUAGUGGUGAAAUGCGUAGAUAUCGGGAGGAAUACCAGUGGCGAAGGCGGCUGCCUGGCCUGUUCUUGACGCUGAGGCGCGAAGGCCAGGGGAGCAAACGGG